UACGGAGGGGGCUAGCGUUGUUCGGAAUUACUGGGCGUAAAGCGCUCGUAGGCGGCUUUGUAAGUUAGAGGUGAAAGCCCGGGGCUCAACUCCGGAAUUGCCUUUAAGACUGCAUCGCUAGAAUUGUGGAGAGGUAAGUGGAAUUCCGAGUGUAGAGGUGAAAUGCGUAGAUAUCUGGAGGAACACCGGUGGCGAAGGCGGCAUCCUGGACCGGUAUUGACACUGAGGCGCGAAAGCCAGGGGAGCAAACGGG
Molecule: ribosomal RNA, 253 nt
Filed under: uncultured bacterium
Lineage: Bacteria
Description: partial 16S ribosomal RNA
Rfam family: Bacterial small subunit ribosomal RNA
Source: RNAcentral